GGCCCUGUCGUCUAACGGUUAGGACAGCGCUCUUUCAAGGCGCAAACACGGGUUCGAUUCCCGUCGGGGUCACAA
RNAcentral lists this transfer RNA (75 nucleotides) under Candidatus Kaiserbacteria bacterium RIFCSPHIGHO2_12_FULL_56_13. RNAcentral describes it as "tRNA-Glu". It matches the Rfam family "tRNA". Rfam says of the family: Transfer RNA (tRNA) molecules are approximately 80 nucleotides in length. The record is from RNAcentral. Lineage: Bacteria; Candidatus Kaiseribacteriota.